AUACGGAAGGUCCGGGCGUUAUCCGGAUUUAUUGGGUUUAAAGGGAGCGCAGGCGGAGAUGCAAGCGUGACGUCAAAUUUCGGGGCUCAACCCCGUCUCGCGUCGCGAACUGCGUCCCUUGGUUGCGGGAAGGGGAGGCGGAACUCGUGGUGUAGCGGUGAAAUGCAUAGAUAUCACGAAGAACUCCGAUCGCGAAGGCAGCCGUCCGACCCGUCAACGACGCUCAUGCUCGAAGGUGCGGGUAUCAAACAGGAUUAGAUACCCUGGUAGUCCGCACAGUAAACGAUGGACACCCGCGGUUUGGCCUGUAUGGCUGAGCCGCCAAGCGAAGGCGUUAAGUGUCCCACCUGGGGAGUACGCCGGCAACGGUGAAACUCAAAUGAAUUGACGGGG
RNAcentral lists this ribosomal RNA (393 nucleotides) under uncultured bacterium. RNAcentral describes it as "partial 16S ribosomal RNA". It matches the Rfam family "Bacterial small subunit ribosomal RNA", at positions 523 to 918 of the family's 1533-position model. The record is from RNAcentral.